This 497-nucleotide ribosomal RNA is filed under the name uncultured bacterium. Its description in RNAcentral is "partial 16S ribosomal RNA". It matches the Rfam family "Bacterial small subunit ribosomal RNA", at positions 28 to 507 of the family's 1533-position model. The record is from RNAcentral.
GAUGAACGCUGGCGGCGUGCCUAAUACAUGCAAGUCGAGCGAACAGACGAGGAGCUUGCUCCUCUGACGUUAGCGGCGGACGGGUGAGUAACACGUGGAUAACCUACCUAUAAGACUGGGAUAACUUCGGGAAACCGGAGCUAAUACCGGAUAAUAUAUUGAACCGCAUGGUUCAAUAGUGAAAGACGGUUUUGCUGUCACUUAUAGAUGGAUCCGCGCCGCAUUAGCUAGUUGGUAAGGUAACGGCUUACCAAGGCAACGAUGCGUAGCCGACCUGAGAGGGGGAUCGGCCACACUGGAACUGAGACACGGUCCAGACUCCUACGGGAGGCAGCAGUAGGGAAUCUUCCGCAAUGGGCGAAAGCCUGACGGAGCAACGCCGCGUGAGUGAUGAAGGUCUUCGGAUCGUAAAACUCUGUUAUUAGGGAAGAACAAAUGUGUAAGUAACUAUGCACGUCUUGACGGUACCUAAUCAGAAAGCCACGGCUAACCACGUG